UUUAAUGAAUGGCCGUUGCAGAAGGUUUGGGUUCGAGAGGCCAUGCCGCCUCUGGGAAUCUGGGAUAGAGAUAGAGAGAGGGAGAGGGAGACAGCGCGAAAGAGAGAGAGGGAGAGAAAGGAGUAGGGAUCCCUCGCUGAGGGUUUCGCAUUUGGGAGGUCAUGCUUAUGGAGAUAGAGAUAGAGAUAGGAGAGGGAGAGGGAGAUCAACCACGAUCCCGGUCACGGUGCUCCGUUGGCCCGCGUCAGCUUCCGCCAUCCGUUCAGGUACAAUAAGCAGAACGAGCUCUUCGUUGCCGCCGAGGGAAAGAGAUGGGAGUAUUUCUGCGAUUUGCAGAGAGAGAUGGGACAAGGAUGAGAGAAAGGGAGAUGAGAGGAUUUUGUGCGAGGAUUGAAGGGAACGGGUAUGGGAGUAUGGGUUUACAGGCAAUGGUAUGGGCUGCACAGAGAUGAGAGGAUUUUCUCCACCACCGCUCUCUCUCCCAACUCUCUCUCUCUCUGAGUGGCUCGAAGAAAAACGAAGAAGACGAAGAGGGAAGUCUACGAUUGCCUACAGAUCUAAGGUUAGGGUUUCGGAGGGGCAUCUUGUGCGUUUUGGGGGAAGAGGAAGAGGAUGGAUUCGGUCCCUUCGAACUCACAUGCGAACCUGGAUGAACAGAUUGCUCAGCUCAUGCAGUGCAAUCCCUUGUCCGAACAAGAGGUUUCUUGGGUAGCUGUGGAACAUCAGAGUACAUCACUCUCAAACACCCACUCUUGGGAACCGACCUUCCAUGCUGGGUUUCUCAAAUGUUAAUUAAUUUGUUCCUUUUAUGGACCAAGAAUGUAAAAGGUACGGAUCUGGCAAUUUUUUUUUUUACGAAUUGAAGAAUACAAAAGGCAUGGUUUUAGCAAGUUGUAUAAGAAGACGCAAGACCCAGGGGAGGAAAAGAUAAGGAAAGGUAUUCAUGCAUUAGUGUUUAAUAUUGAUCAAAUAGUGCAUGAAUUGUGUGGCAAGUAUGCUGAGAAGAGAAACACAGAUGGAAUUUGGGGAUGCAAGGAUUGUGGAAAAACUGAAGCUAGCACUGCUAGUUCUUAAAUCGUUAAAAUUGCAAAAGAGGAGGAUUUUAGUAAUUAAGGGUAUAUUCGUACUUUCAUUCAACUUUUGGUUAUAAUUAUCAACAAUUUAAAAGGGUGGUUAUAAUUCUAUACAGGGACCAAAUUUUGGUGUAAAUGUGUUUUUGGCUACUCCAACCUCUUAUCUUGGCAGGAUUUUGGCAUGCAUGCAAGGAACUCUGGUUGUGGGAGGAAGAAGCCAGUUCCUUACUAUUUUUAGCAGUAUUCUCCAUAGCUGAUGACGGCACAAGUACAUUUCAGUCCAUUAGUGACGGUGAGACUGUAGUUUCAACUGGCGGAACAUUUGAGCUAGGAUUUUACAGUCCCGAUGCUUCUAAUAGACGGUAUGUGGGGAUAUGGUACAAGAAGAUUUCUGUUAAAACCAUUGUAUGGGUUGCCAACAGAGACACACCCCUCACUGAUUUGUUUGGCGUCCUGAAGAUCACCAACCCCGGAAUACUUGUCCUCAACCACAACAUGAGCACAAUUUGGUCCUCCAACACAUCGAGAACUGCACAGAAUCCAGUGGCACGUCUUUUGGACUCGGGUAAUCUUGUUGUGGUAGAUAGGAGUGAUGAUGACCCUGAGAACUUUCUGUGGCAAAGUUUUGAUUACCCUGGCGAUACAUGCCUACCAGGUGCGAAGCUUGGUAGGAACACAGUUACAGGCUUCAAUUGGCAUCUUAGAUCAUGGAAAAGUCCUCAGGAUCCUUCUCCAGGUAAUUAUACAUAUCAAUUUGGUCCCAAAGGAUAUGCAGAAAUGUUUCUGAGGGAAGGUUCUGUCAUAAAAUUUCGGAGUGGACCAUGGAAUGGAGUCCGGUUCAGUGGAAUGCCGCAGUUAAGUCCAAACCCUAUAUACACAUACGGUCUUGUUUUUGAGACUGAUGAAAUGUACUACAGUUACAAGCUUCGCAACAACUCAAUCCUUUCGAACAUGGUGUUAACUUCAGAGGGGCUUUCACGGCGCUAUAUAUGGAUUGAUAGAACCAAAGAUUGGUUUCUUUACCUAACAGCCCAGAUUGAUAACUGUAACAACUAUGCAUUCUGUGGUGUAUAUGGCACAUGUAACAUUGAAAAGUCCCCGGUAUGUAGCUGUUUGAAAGGAUUUACCCCAAAGUUUCCAAACGAAUGGGAUUUGGUGGAUUGGUCAAAUGGCUGUGUGAGAAAGACUUCUCUAAAUUGCACCGGAGACGUGUUCCAAAAGUACUCGGGGUUGAAAUUGCCUAGCACAGAACAAUCCUGGUUUAACAGAAGUAUGAACCUCAAGGAAUGUGAGAUGGUGUGCAUGAAGAACUGCUCCUGCACGGCUUAUACAAAUUUGGAUAUCCGAGAUGGAGGAAGCGGGUGUUUGCUGUGGUACGGCGAUCUAAUUGAUAUAAGAUACUUGGCUGAAAACGGGCAAGAUAUUUAUAUAAGAAUGGCUUCAUCGGAACUAGACAAUACAAAGAUCGACGCUAAAUACUCUGAAUCCAAUGUGAAGAAAAUGAGAAUCAUAAUAAGCACUACUGUGUUGUCUACCGGACUGCUGAUCAUGGGCCUGGCCCUGCUGUUUUAUGUUUGGAAGAAGCAGCACCAGAAAGGUGGUAAGUUGGCUAUACUAUUCUGCUUCUCUGCUUUACAAGUUACAUAGUUCUGUUGUAUAGGGAAUUUUUUUCACCCCUGUAACUGUGUCUUUGCAGGAAAACUGGGAUGCGGCCAAAAGGAGGAUCUUGAAUUACCGUUAUUUGAUUUGAUGACUGUAGUUUCUGCAACCAGUAACUUUUCAAGUGAAAACAAACUUGGUGAAGGAGGUUUCGGAUCUGUCUUUAAGGGUACAAUGAAAGAUGGACAAGAAAUCGCAGUGAAAAAGCUUUCAAAAGUUCUCAACAAGGGCUCGACGAGUUCAAGAAUGAAGUUACACAUAUUGCCAAACUUCAGCACAGGAAUCUAGUGAAGCUUCUUGGAUACUGCAUUCAAGAAGACGAGAUGAUGCUGAUCUACGAGUACAUGCCUAACAAGAGCUUAGACUUCUUUAUAUUCGAUCAAAGAAGAAGGAUGUUAUUAGACUGGCCGAAGCGCUUUGAAAUUAUUAAUGGGAUAGCUCGAGGGAUCCUCUAUCUUCAUCAAGAUUCUAGACUGAGAGUUAUCCAUAGAGAUCUCAAAGCAAGUAACAUUUUGUUAGGCAGUGAAUUUAAUCCGAAAAUCUCAGACUUUGGCCUGGCUAGAAGCUUUGGAGGAAAUGAAACGAAAACAAAAACGAAGAAAGUGGUCGGAACAUACGGUUACAUGUCCCCAGAAUAUGCAAUUGAUGGUUUCUACUCUAUAAAGUCCGACGUCUAUAGCUUUGGUGUUAUGGUGCUAGAGAUAGUGAGUGGGAGCAGAAAUAGAGGAUUCUCUCAUCCAGACCACAAACUCAACCUUCUUGGACAUGCGUGGAUGCUACACACAGAAGGCAGGCCUCUCGAAUUGCUUGAUACAUCGGUAGAGGACUCCAUCACUUUGCAUGAAGUUGUACGAACAAUUCAUGUGGGUCUUUUGUGUGUGCAGAGGAAUCCAGAAGAUAGGCCAAGCAUGUCGGCUGCAGUUCUAAUGUUGGGUGGUGAAGGUGCAUUGCCCCCACCUCUAAAACCUGGUUUCUACAGUGAAAGGGAUUUGACUGAACUUGAUGCCGGUCAUUCUUCUAAAGCAUGCUCAGCUAAUGAUGUCACUAUUUCACUACUUGAGGCUCGAUAAAAUAUUGGAAAUGAUUUUCGCACACAUGGCUUUAUUUUGUCUCUUGAUUUUCCUAUGACUUUUUCAAUUGGAAGACAAUGUUAUAUGAGUCAUUGUCACAUAGUGACACUCUUUUGGCCGAUUCACAAAAGUUUGUGAAUAUGAUCAGAACUAUCAUGUUAUAAAUCGAUUUGUAAAGAUAA
Non-coding RNA from Malus domestica (apple), 3984 nucleotides. NCBI's taxonomy places the organism in Eukaryota, Viridiplantae, Streptophyta, Magnoliopsida, Rosales, Rosaceae. The record is from RefSeq and is a predicted model, not a curated record.